This 245-nucleotide ribosomal RNA is filed under the name uncultured bacterium. Its description in RNAcentral is "partial 16S ribosomal RNA". It matches the Rfam family "Bacterial small subunit ribosomal RNA", at positions 524 to 768 of the family's 1533-position model. The record is from RNAcentral.
UACGUAGGUCCCAAGCGUUAUCCGGAUUUACUGGGCGUAAAGUGUCCGUAGCCAGAUAAAUAAGUCUGUUUUCAAAUACCUGGACUCAAUCGAGGGAAGGGAAUAGAUACUGUUUAUCUAGAGAUCUUUGGAGGUUAGUGGAAUUUCCGGUGGAGCGGUGAAAUGCGUUGAUAUCGGAAAGAAUGCCGAAAGCGAAAGCAGCUAACUACAAUACAUCUGACGGUGAGGGACGACAGUUUGGGGAG